Molecule: ribosomal RNA, 391 nt
Filed under: uncultured bacterium
Lineage: Bacteria
Description: bacterial SSU rRNA
Rfam family: Bacterial small subunit ribosomal RNA
Source: RNAcentral
UGCAAUCUACCUUUGCAGAGGGAUAGCCCAGUAGAAAUUUGGAUUAAUACCUCAUAGUAUAGUACUUUGGCAUCAAGGAACUAUUAAAGUCACAACGGCAAAAGAUGAGCAUGCGUCCCAUUAGCUAGUUGGUAAGGUAACGGCUUACCAAGGCUACGAUGGGUAGGGGGUCCUGAGAGGGAGAUCCCCCCACACUGGUACUGAGACACGGACCAGACUCCUACGGGAGGCAGCAGUGAGGAAUAUUGGACAAUGGGCGCAAGCCUGAUCCAGCCAUGCCGCGUGCAGGAUGACGGUCCUAUGGAUUGUAAACUGCUUUUAUACAGGAAGAAACACUCCGACGUGUCGGAGCUUGACGGUACUGUAAGAAUAAGGAUCGGCUAACUCCGUG